AUUGAACGCUGGCGGCAUGCUUUACACAUGCAAGUCGAACGGUAACAGCACUUCGGUGGCUGACGAGUGGCGAACGGGUGAGUAAUACAUCGGAACGUGCCUAGUAGUGGGGGAUAACUACUCGAAAGAGUAGCUAAUACCGCAUGAGAUCUAAGGAUGAAAGCAGGGGACCUUCGGGCCUUGCGCUACUAGAGCGGCUGAUGGCUGAUUAGGUAGUUGGUGGGAUAAAAGCUUACCAAGCCGACGAUCUGUAGCUGGUCUGAGAGGACGACCAGCCACACUGGGACUGAGACACGGCCCAGACUCCUACGGGAGGCAGCAGUGGGGAAUUUUGGACAAUGGGCGCAAGCCUGAUCCAGCAAUGCCGCGUGCAGGAUGAAGGCCUUCGGGUUGUAAACUGCUUUUGUACGGAACGAAAAGCCCUCUUCUAAUACAGGAGGGUCAUGACGGUACCGUAAGAAUAAGCACCGGCUAACUACGUG
This 482-nucleotide ribosomal RNA is filed under the name uncultured bacterium. RNAcentral's name for it is "partial 16S ribosomal RNA". It matches the Rfam family "Bacterial small subunit ribosomal RNA", at positions 30 to 507 of the family's 1533-position model. The record is from RNAcentral.